GGCGUCUCAGGGUCGCUCCUGGAGAGUUUCCAGUACUCUACCAGUCUCGGCUAUGGGAGGGAGAGUCAAGCAGAGGCAUACCCAUUCCAUCCCUAGCUUGGGCAGUGGCUAGCAAAUGCAAGGCAAUCUGCUACAAUU
Small nucleolar RNA from Tachyglossus aculeatus (Australian echidna), 138 nucleotides. The record is from RefSeq and is a predicted model, not a curated record. NCBI's taxonomy places the organism in Eukaryota, Metazoa, Chordata, Mammalia, Monotremata, Tachyglossidae.